GUGAAUCAUCGAAUUUUUGAACGCAAAUUGCACUCUCUUCGUAGAGUAUGCCUGUUUGAGGGUCAGCCUAAAAUAAAUCGACAUCGCUGCUGUUUCGCGGUGGCGUUCGUCGGACAUCUGGUUAUCUUCAAUCUGUGGUUUAUGCGACUUAAAAUUUUCUUUACGAUUCUAUGAACGUUUCCUAGUUAUA
Molecule: unclassified non-coding RNA, 190 nt
Filed under: Glomus sp.
Lineage: Eukaryota; Fungi; Glomeromycota; Glomeromycetes; Glomerales; Glomeraceae
Description: partial contains 5.8S ribosomal RNA and internal transcribed spacer 2
Rfam family: 5.8S ribosomal RNA (bases 1-65)
Source: RNAcentral